GUCUUUUCAAAAUGAGACGCACACGAAAUAGCAUGCAUAUAGCCCAAAUGCGCACAUAUUCGAUUAUAAAAUUCCUUUGAAAUACAACAGUAUGAAAAUGUUUUCAAUAUAAUAUACCUGGGAAUUUGUCAGCGAGACGUUUCUUUUGUAAUCGUUCACUAACAGCCAUUGAUAACAAAUGCCACGAAAAAUGCGCCAACAAAAUUCUUAAAAUCCCGGGAUGUUCGUUAAAGAAGUGAACCUUGGAUGAGUGUGAAUUUGCGCGCGCGAGCAGACCUGUAAUGUAGAACAUUGAAAGCAACCAAUCAAAUCUCUAAACCCAAUAGGGAAAAAUUUUGACUUUUUAGAUCACAUUUCAACUGAGAAGAAAAACUCACAAUGGGUUCGCGCGGCAGCUGCAUGGCAGCGUUUAGAAAUACUUUUACCGUUGCACUUGAUCACACGAAGCAUACUUUUUCCGUUGCACACGAAGAUCUGGCCAAGUACCAACUGAAAACGCUAACAUGUAAAAAACAACAUACGCCUUUGUCUCUGGAGACUGAUACUGAUUCUAAUGAUGAUACCGAUUCUAAUAAGGAGACUAACAGUUCUGCUGAAUCUGUAGGUAGGUUCUCUCACUGGAAAUGAUGCUGACCCAAUAUUUAUGCACUAAUAUUUGGCAGUUAGGAGGUACUAUUAUGUAGCUUUAGGAAGUACUAUUAACUCCCAAUGUUUUUUUUGCUGAAAGUUGCAGUAGAUUUCGUUUUAUAAAAUUUGCAUAUAUACCUAUAGGUUGAUACAAAAACCGAAUAUUCGAAUACACCGAAUACCGGAGCAAUUCAGUCCAUUUGGCAAACACAAGCAAUUGUGAUACAAGCGAUUUAGACCGCAGCACUUAUAGCGGAAAUCCCAGUCAUGAAAUUCUACCUUUGAGCUUAGAUCCAGAAUGCAAUGCAUCAGCAAUUGCUGCAGGCUUCAGCGAUAUCGAAGACACCUCGACAUGCAUUCACACAGAUAGCGACUCUUCCAUAUCAAGUGAUGACACUAUGGAACUUUCUUCUGGUGAUAAUGAACAAACAAGUGAUUCAGACGAUGAAAUAAUAACCUCCCAAUACUUAGAACUGUUCCAGGGGUCUCCUUUAUCCGUGGAAGAACUUAAUGCGGUUCUACUAGCUUUGAAGCAGAGACACAAUUUUUCAAAUUUUGCUUUGGGUAGCAUUUUGAAAAUGCUUCAACUGUGUCUACCAGAUAGCACCAACCUUUCUGCAUCAAGCUACAUCUUGAAAAAAAGAAUGAAAGAGAGCUCACAUAUAUUUCCAUAAGAUAUGUGACAUGCAUGAAUUGCCAAAGCCCCUUGGUUGAUGACCUGUGCAGGAACGAAAAGUGCUCGUUACAUAGAAUGCCUGCAAAAGGAGGAAAUUCGAGUAUCUUUUAUGUUAUAGACAUUCUUCCAGAGUUAAAAAGAUUAAUAUCAGGCUAAUGGCAUAUUAUUAAAAGAUUUACUGUGGCCUACCAGCAUACUUUUGUGAUAUUUACAAAGAUAUAUUAGAUGGAAAAUCAUAUCAAUCGCAGAGUACUGAAGUACGAAAAGAUGGUCAUUUCCCAAUCACCCUUUAUUGGCAUGUUGAUGGAGCACCCGCGUUUAGAUCGAGCAGCGCCUCUAUCUGGCCUGUUCAGAGCUUUGUUGUCGAACUUCCACCACCAUUGCGAUAAUCUUUUAAGAACAAUAUAAUGUUCUGUAUUUGGUAUGGAAAACGAAAACCGAAUAAGGAGGUUAUAAGGAGGGAAAACCGAAUAAACAGAAAUUUGUUGAAGAAGUGAUUCAUUUAGGCUCUGGCCCGACAAUUUCUAUUGGUGAUCUUGAAUCAAAGUUUAAACUAGUCGUAAAUGGGCAAGUUGUUGACUUAGUCGCAAAAGCCCCCUCUGUUAAUUUUAUCCAGUUCAAUGGAAAGUCUGGCUAUUGUUCUUGUCUCCAUUCAGGGCAAAAAAUGGUUGGCCCUGGUAAUAAACGUGUUUAUCCUUAUACGAGCACGCCAUUUCCACGCCGCACACACGAAGAUACAGUAGCUUACGCACAAAUAGCUUAGGAAACAGGAGAAACAGUUUUUGGAGUAAAAGAGCGGUCGAAUGUGCAUUCAAUUCUCAAGAUUCCAGGGAAAGUUGAGAUCAUUCAAAGAAUUUAAAAGAUGGAAAGCUAGUGAAAAGCAGGCCUUUUUCCUCCACGCUAGCCUUCCAAUUUUGAAAGAUAUUCUGCCAUCGGAGUUCUUUUUCCAUUUCUCGUCACUGGCGUUCGGAUUUUAUGUUAUGGAUAUAACAUUACUGAGGACCAGAUCUAUCUCAGUUGCUGGGGCUAUGCUCGACAGUUACACAAGGAUGCUUCCGAAACUGUAUGAUAUUUCAGAAGCAACUUUCAACUCGCAUUCCCUCACCUUGCCGAACAUGGGCCUUGCUUAGAGAGCAUUGGCCUUUAAUCCUUCAUUCUGCUUUUGUGUUUGAAUCAAUGCUUGCGCAUCUUAAAAGGCUGUUUCAUGGUACACGGGGAAUACCAGAUCAGAUAUGUAAAAAUCAGUAAGAAAGAAAUCAGUAUGCUUUCUUGUUGAUAUUAAAGAAGCUGACAAAUAUUUUGGAGAAGUAAAAUUUUUCGUGAAGAAGGAGAACACUGGUUUCGCAAUAAUAAGGGUUUAUCAUAGUUUAAAUUAUAACGAGUGUCAAGAAGGUUUACCCCCGCCAACAGAUCCAGUCCUGAAAGAGUUUUUGCAUUCAGGUCAUCUUGGUUCUCACUUCAUUGCUGUGGAAAGACAACCCUGGUGAAGUUUGUAAAUUGCUCAUCCUUUAUUGGUAAGAUAAUUUUGGUGGAAAGACAAAACGAUAGUUCUUUUGGUUUUGUUUCCCCAGUUCUCAAGUGUUAUUAGAAUGACUAAUUGAAACUGUUACCAAUUUUAAAAAUCUUUCAAAUUAUGAACCUUUAAAACUUUCGUAAGAAUAUAUGUAAUAAUCCUGUAAUAACGCAAAACGAUUUAAAAAAAUCUUGUAAGAAUAUGGUAAGAUCUUAAAGAGAUCCUGUAAGAAUUUCUUUAGGGCUUCUUUACUAUGAGUUGACCUACCAGGUUAGAUAAACAAAUAACCUAGAUUACCGUUUAUAAUUGCAAAACCAAGUGAAACCUUGUAUAAGCAACUUGGUUAGAUGCUUUAGCAAGCACAUGACAUGCAGCAUAAGGCAUCUGCUAAUGGAAUAAAAUCUGCUAAUGUUGGCCCCAAAACUCGUCAGACUUGCUGAGGGAAAGAACUUCUCAGGAGAGGGAAAGAAAUUGCUAAAUCUUACGAAAUGUGGAGAGAACAUCGAGUGUGGUGCUGAUAGUGAAAGUGCUGAAUUGAAUGCAGUGGAACAAGCUUAUGUUGCUUUAUGUCUGUUGCCAAUGAUGCUAGAAAGUCAACAGCAAUGUGCAAUCCAGCAUCAUAUCUUUGUCAGUUUCGAGAAGCUAAAGAUGUCACAAGAAGUUCAAAGCCUGGCAUGGGACCAUAGAAGAGCCUCAGGUAGAUGAAGUGUACGGUUGUUGCUAAAAAUCGAGUUGUUUUCUCAAGACUACCAUUACUUCAUGCUGUGGAGAUGAUGAUGCUCCUGUAUUAUGUUUGCAACAUUGAAUACCCGAGAGAGUAUAGCAAUACAAUUGUAUUUUUACAAAGGCAAAUGCUGAA
RNAcentral lists this long non-coding RNA (3675 nucleotides) under Dendronephthya gigantea. RNAcentral describes it as "uncharacterized LOC114515546, transcript variant X2". The record is from RNAcentral. Lineage: Eukaryota; Metazoa; Cnidaria; Anthozoa; Malacalcyonacea; Nephtheidae.